This 338-nucleotide long non-coding RNA is filed under the name Salvia miltiorrhiza (redroot sage). RNAcentral's name for it is "long non-coding RNA (SMIL_LNC009050)". The record is from RNAcentral. Lineage: Eukaryota; Viridiplantae; Streptophyta; Magnoliopsida; Lamiales; Lamiaceae.
UUACCGCUAGCGGAACCUAGCUGUGGGCAUAGGAAAAUUAUAAAUGUAUUUGCACGGAGAAGUCCACCGCACAACGACAACGCAAAGGAUCAACCUCCGUCGAAUUGGCGCCGUUGCCGGGGAGUUGGAUUUUUUAGUCUUUUUCUCUCGAUUUUUUUUUCAUUAUUUUUGUUCUAGUCUAACUUGGGCAAGUUAAGACAUGAGGAGAUUACAACCAUUGGAAGUGCAAGUCCCGACAUGGUCCCAUUUUUCGUGCUCUUUUUGUGUGUCUUUUAGGUCUAGAUCGAGUCUAGUUUUUGUUUGUUUUGUGUCUUGUGUAUUUGGGAGGACACAUUUCG